RNAcentral lists this small nuclear RNA (104 nucleotides) under Propithecus coquereli (Coquerel's sifaka). Lineage: Eukaryota; Metazoa; Chordata; Mammalia; Primates; Indriidae. The record is from RNAcentral.
GUGCUCGCUUCAGCAGCACAUAUACUAAAAUUGGAAUGAUACAGAGAAGAUUAGCAUGGCCCCUUGGGGAAGAAAAAAAAAAAAGAUAAAAUUCUUUUUUUUUU